Molecule: long non-coding RNA, 442 nt
Filed under: Physcomitrium patens
Lineage: Eukaryota; Viridiplantae; Streptophyta; Bryopsida; Funariales; Funariaceae
Description: long non-coding RNA (PPAT_LNC010513)
Source: RNAcentral
UUGAGGAUCGUUUGGCUGAUUUGGGACCCCAUUCACUGUAUUGAACACCGACGGGCGAGUCUCACGAGGCAGGCACGACGCACAUACUUGUCGGUGGCAUAGCGGCGAUUACGGCCGAUUGGAAAACCAAGUCAAGCGUGAGUCGAACUGAAGCGAAUUGGCUUUGUCCUAAUUCUUCCAAGUUGCCACCACGAUGGCAACUUGCGAUCAUCAAUUGGUUGCCGACUAGAUUUUAUUUUCUAUCCACGAGCUCAGACUUAGUCGUAGAUCGACAUGCAGUGAUCGAUCGUUGAUCUCAGGCGACAUGGGUUGCUGUACACUUGUGUAUCUAACGGCCAUUCAAAUAGACUGGAACUACAGCAUGCACGUAUUAGCCAAAUUGGAUUUGGUCAUGAUCCAGAAUGAGCCGCACCCUACAAUCCACCAGCUCACUGUAUCACCA